ACUGCAGAACAUGAGGAUCUCAGUUAGUGAGCUCUUGGGACCUCAGUUCCCCACCCAUCAAAUGACUCAGUCUCUUUCUCAGGAUUCUUCCUGCUCAGAAUCUACAGUAUUUUGGGGGUGUCUGACGCCUGGUGGACCGCCUAGAAAACAUGAGGAAGAACGUGGCUGGGGAUGGGGUGAACCGCUGCAUACUGUGUGGAGAACAGCUGGGGAUGCUGGGCUCUGCCUGUGUAGUAUGUGAGGACUGUAAGAAGAACGUCUGCACCAAGUGCGGAGUGGAGACCAACAACCGCCUGCAUUCUGUGUGGCUCUGCAAAAUCUGCAUUGAGCAGAGGGAGGUGUGGAAGCGUUCUGGAGCGUGGUUCUUCAAAGGCUUCCCCAAACAGGUCCUCCCACAGCCUAUGCCUAUAAAGAAGACCAAGCCCCAGCAGCCUGUCAGUGAGCCUGCUGCCCCUGAACAGCCUGCUCCUGAGCCCAAGCACCCUGCCCGGGCUCCAGCUCGAGGUGACAGUGAAGAUAGGAGGGGCCCGGGUCAGAAGACAGGCCCUGACCCGGCCUCUGCUCCCGGG
Molecule: small RNA, 569 nt
Filed under: Pan troglodytes (chimpanzee)
Lineage: Eukaryota; Metazoa; Chordata; Mammalia; Primates; Hominidae
Description: processed transcript
Source: RNAcentral